RNAcentral lists this long non-coding RNA (22295 nucleotides) under Vitis vinifera (wine grape). RNAcentral's name for it is "long non-coding RNA (VVIN_LNC003122)". The record is from RNAcentral. Lineage: Eukaryota; Viridiplantae; Streptophyta; Magnoliopsida; Vitales; Vitaceae.
UGAUGGCUACAAAGAUGUCGAUGAAUCGGACAGUGCUCUCUUAUGUGCUGCUGUCAACCAACCUAUUAGCGUGGGCAUGGAUGGCUCUGCUCUUGACUUCCAGCUCUACACAUCUGUAGGUCUUACUGCUAAUUUAUCAUUUACAUUUACGAAUCCGAAUACGAAAAUGUAAACGAUGGUAAUUUGAAUUUGUUCAGGGAAUAUAUGCUGGGGAUUGCUCGGAUGAUCCAGAUGACAUUGACCAUGCAGUUCUGAUAGUUGGCUAUGGCUCUGAAGAUAGUGAAGACUACUGGAUUUGUAAGAAUUCAUGGGGAACAAGCUGGGGAAUGGAGGGGUACUUCUACAUAAAGAGGAACACUGAUUUACCAUAUGGAGAAUGCGCCAUCAAUGCCAUGGCUUCCUAUCCGACCAAAGAGUCUUCUUCACCAUCUCCUUAUCCAUCCCCAGCUGUUCCACCACCGCCGCCGCCCCCACCAUCCCCGCCACCGCCUCCCCCUCCCUCCCCACCACCUCCCUCUCCUGGCCCUUCCCCUAGUGAGUGCGGUGACUUUUCCUAUUGCCCGAGCGAUGAGACUUGCUGUUGCAUAUAUGAGUUCUAUGAUUUUUGCCUGAUCUACGGCUGCUGUGAAUACGAGAACGCCGUUUGCUGCACUGGAACAGAGUACUGCUGCCCCAGUGACUACCCCAUUUGCGAUGUGGAAGAAGGCCUAUGUCUCAAGGUAUAUAUGACUAUCCCAUCAGUGUUUCUGCUUUUGUUCUUGGGAACGUUAUAAUUCACCUUAUCUGUUUGUAUGUUUUUUGUAUUACAGAACCAGGGAGACUACCUAGGAGUAGCAGCAAAGAAGAGAAAGAUGGCGAAGCACAAGUUCCCCUGGACUAAAAUAGAAGAAACACAGAAGACAUACCAACCUCUGGAGUGGAAGAGGAACAGGUUUGCUGCGAUGCGUUGAGAAGGGGAAAGAUGAAUGAGACUUAUGAGUUUGAAUUUUAAAGAUUGUCAGUCAUUUGUCCUAUUUCUUCCUCCCCAGGGGGAGCGACCAUUACAUUGUCCUGUUUUGAAUGUAUGGUCUGAUGCACAUUGGACAUAUGUAGUAAGCAUAAUCAACAGCAGAAGAUGGGAAAAUUUGAUUUCUUUUCUACGGGUAAUGUAUUGGAACACUAUCUUUAUCGUUUGCGAUUGUAUUUCCCUGUUUGGUUGUUUGUCCUACCUUGCAGCACAUGCCCUGUCAUAUAAUUACAAUACAGGGUUCAGUAAUUCAUCCUGCAAAAAGGCUAUCAGGUGAGAAUUUAGAAUCUUCAAUGAAAAUGUCCCUGGAAAUCUCAGAUACAAGCCUAGUGGGCUAAAAACUGUGGGGCGAGAGGAGUUUAGCAGCUAACUGUGGCCAUGGACUAGGCCACGAAAAUAGAUGGAUUUCAUUGAGGGCUUGAAAACUGCUUUUUAAAAAUUAUUUUUGAAAAUGUCUGCAAUCUCUUCAUUUCCUGAGAAAAAAAAAAAAAGAGAACAUUAACUUUUAUAUUGUUUUCAAAUUACCCUCUUUUAUAUUACAAAAAAGGCUGUGAGGACUGAGGGCUAAUCAAUAUUUUUCAUUCACUUGGCUCGACUAGUAGGUAGGGAAGCAUAAAAAUGGGAAGAAGCCUUGGAUUGAGAUACAAUGUUCCCCUUAAAUGAAAAGCUGACUGUGGUUGGACCUUCCAUGUCCACCUAUAUCAUAUCGUUGAACAUAAAUUAUUAUCAAAUAUGACAUGAACUCAAAAAAGAAUUAGGUAUGAUAUGACUUUAAAACAAUUUGCUAAAACUUCAAUGUUACACAAUUUGUUUUGAACUUUGAAGUGAGGGGACCCCAAACAUGCAGAGGAAUUUUUGUGAUCCUUUGCAUGUCUACACAAGGAAGGGCCUGCGUGACUCUGGUGUGUGAACAAGACUGGGUUGUCUUUUACUCAAAGCUCUUUCUUAUAAUGCAGGGUAGGCACCUUUCCUUAUGAAAGAUUCUAACUUGACUCGAUUAAAGUCAAUAAUGGCGGACCCCCUAAAGCCAUGAAAAGCUUUCCGCGGGCCACGUGGACCGGACCUACUCACAUGGGUUGAAUUCCAAGCUUUGAUCUGAUGGAUCUAGGUCUUCAACCAACACUUUGUAGUGCUUUUAUACCCCAUUACAUUCUUAAAAAAAAAAAAAAAAAAAUUUAAAUUGCAUAUGAUUUUUUUUUUUUUUUAAUAUCCAUGAUUAUCUCGUAGAGAUUAGGGUCUCAUUGAUAAUUUUUGUAAAUAUACUCCAUGUACUAGCUUACAAGUUUGUAAGAAUCAUUCUCCUCAAAAUAUCUAUGACUCUUAUUUUGUCCAACAAUAGGUUAUUAGUAUUAUUUUUUAUUUCUAAAAAUAGAAAACUUGGCCUUAUUUGUUUCUACCUAAGUCUCAUUCCCUUAUGCUUUAGUCCAAUAACUUAUAUUUUAUUGUACAUUUUCAAAGGUUCAAAUUCAAUGUUCAAUAGAGACCAAUUUAAUACCUUAGAAUUUUCCAAGAAGAAAAAAAUGUAAGUGAAAAAGAUUUACACUAUGAUUUUUUGUAUUUGCAACCCUCUUCGUGUAGACUAUUUUUUUCUUUUCAUUUUGAAAGAAUAUGAAAGCAUAUUUGGACCCUUUUUUUUCCAUUUAAUUUUUUGGAAACAAAGAAUUUUUUUGAUAACUAUUUUAAAAAAUAAUUUUUAAAAAUUGCUCUCUUACAUUUGUAAAAUAAAAGUUUAUUUGAAAACUUAAAAUAUUUUUAACCUAUUUUUAAAUAUGUUUUUAAAAUAAUCAUAUUUGUAUAAUUAUUUUUUAAAACAAUUGUCAUAAAACAACUAAAAGAUAUUUUCCCAAAAUAUUUUGUAUUUUAUUUUUUGAGAAUUUUUUUUGAAGAAAGUAAAAAAUAAAAAAUAAAAAAAUAAAAAUCAUAACAUGAUAUUUAUAUUAUAUAAAUUUUUAACUAUAUUUCUUUUUAUUUAUUUUUAAAAAUUAGUGAAAAAUUAAAAUCAAGUAAGAUUUUAUAUAUUUCAUUUAUUAAGAAAUACUUGUCAUUUUUCUUAAUCAUAAGCAUUUUCAAGAAAACAAAAAUGGGAAGUAAAAUCAUAAAAUGAAAAUUGAAAAUAAGAACUUGACCAUUUAAGGGGUACUUACCAUAUUAAAUGUGGGUCGGUCCCUCAUUUAAAUAUUCUACUUCCCCCAACCGCAUCUAUGUCCGUGACCAACCCCCCUGAUUCCUCUCUUUUCCUUUUUAUAUUAUUAUGCUUGCUUUAUCAUACCUUAUCAAAUUUAUAGUAAUACUAUCUAUUGUGAGAAAUUAUUAAUAUUUUAUUUUAAUUUAUAUUAAAAAUAAUAAUAAAAAGUUACCAAUUUAAUAUGUCGGUUAAAGACAAAAAUGGAAAAACAGGGUAGAAUGAUGGCAAGGGAUGAAUAUGGCACACGACAAACGCGUGCGAAUGCCUCAAUGGCCAAGAGCCUUAUCUCGGUCUCUCUGGUCUCUAGUCUACACGAAAACGAUUGUGAAAGCAAAAGUAUAUGUAGAGAGCGGAAUUGGAGUGAGAACUUUCUCGCUUUCUCUCUCUUCUUCCUUCUUUUUGUCUCUUUACUCCUGAAGUUUCGGCAGGAUCCCCGGCGACACCGCUCGGUACUGCAUCUCCACAGGUAUGCCUAUCUCUUGGUUCCAUCUCUUUCACCCGGCCGCUGUCUUUGAUUCUUGUUUUUUGGUUUUUAUUUUAUUCGAGCCGAACAACUUUGAAUAAUUGUAUGCAAAAUGGUGAAUCCGGCUAUUUCGGUUUCAAUGGGUUUUCAACUGAAUUUUUUCGUGAAUUUGAGUUCGCUGUCGAGGAAAUGGGUGGUUUUGGUUUGGGAUUCAAGCUUUUGAGUUACCGGACAAGUUUUUCUUGAAUUUCGAUUUUGUGCCUCUGAACUCAACUCAGCUAAAUCUAACACAACUGAUUCUGUUUUUGCUAACAAAGCGGUAUUAAUUUCUUUUUCCUUUUUUUUUUUCCCCUUUGCUUCUCCUCAGUUUUCUCAAUAACCAAACUGUACUUUUACUUUAUUUUUGGUUAUACUCCGUAGAUCAUAAAGUUAUAUGUUUCUGAUAUUCAAGUGGCUUCAUCGUUCGUUUUCUGUUUGGCUGUGAAGUGUGUUCGAAUCAUUUCAUUUGAUAGUAUCAUUAAAUUGAACUGUAGUAUAUAUUAGUUUGGAAAUUAGACUUUUCAACAAUUAUUUUCAGAUUUCUGUGGAUAAUAGGGGAUACAGAGUAGAUUGUUUUGUUCGCUAUCUUUUUUCAUUGUUUAUUGAUUUUGAUAGACUGAUGAACUUUGAAUUAGAGGAGAAGUGCGGAGAACCAACUCUACAGAGAGUUCAUGGAGGGAAAGCAAUUGAAUUUUAGUGCACCACUUCUAUCAGUGAGGCGAAUUUCAUCGACAUUGGGUUCUUCAGAUGGACAGAAAAAGAAGAUGAUUGAAAAUCCGCGGCCCUAUAGACAGAUUUCUAUUCCUUCUUACAUACCAUACUCCAGCGUCGAUCAGGUGACAGAACCAGUUGCAGUCCCUUUUCGCUGGGAGCAGAUUCCGGGAAGAGCCAAGGAUGGAAGUGAACCAGAGCCCCAGUUGCAUGAUGAAGAGCUUUCAAGCACUCCAAGGGUUCCACCAGGGAGGGUUUUUGAUGUUAUACAGAAGCCUGCAGAAAUUGAAUCUGACAAUCGGAAUAUUUUUAGGCCCCAAAAUGAAACAUCUUCCUUGGAUGAAAAUUUUACUAACUUGGAGGGAUUACACGAGGAAGGAGAUUCUGAUAACGAUAGUGGCAGCGAUGCCUAUUCUGAUGCGGUUGACUCACUGUCCCCAACGAAUUCAUUGUCUUUAAGCUGUAGUGUUAGUGGUUUGAGUGGGUCUGAUGGUCCAGAUGUCAAACCUUCUGGAACCUUCUCCAUAGAUCCACAAACUCGAGAUCUUAUGAUGAAUCGCUUCUUACCUGCAGCAAAGGCAAUGGUCUUGGAAACACCUCACUACGCUUCAAGGAAGCAAUCUGUGGUACUUGAACAGCCUAGACAGGUUAAAAGGGUGAUCAGCGAGGAUACAAAACCUUCUCUUAAUAAAUAUUCGACAGACAUCAUACCGUAUUAUGGCCAAUAUGAAGAGGAAGAGGGAAGGGAAAGUGAAGAUGAACAUGAUGAAUAUGAUGCUUCUGGCAACAUACCAGGUUGUGGAUUAAUUCCCCGGUUUUGCUUAAAGAAUUCUUUGUGCCUCUUAGAUCCGGUGCCAGGGAUGAAAGUAAGGACCCGGGUUCCCAAAUCUUCUGCCCGAGUUGUUAAAAAACUGUCCAAGCAUGCAUAUGUCAGAGAUCAUGACCGAAUUGUUACAAAGGUAACUGCUGGAUUAUUGUGUAUUUCUUUUUAUCUUUAUUUGCUUUUUUACCAUUCCAUAUUCUGGUUCCAACUGGUAUUGAUGGAUGUUCCCUGGUGGUGAUGCUGUGUACAAGCAGAAUGCUUGGGAUGCUUUUCGUCGGAACCAAUUAGAUUAUGAAGUCCAAUCAUCUAAGCUGCAUGAAGUUGGGAAUAUGAUGACUGUGGAAUCCAAUUGUACCUAUUCCAGUGACUCACAAGCAACAGAUGGGUCAUCUCCCCACAGACACUCAAGUAGCGGCGGUGGCAUAUCUCCAUACAGGAAUGAAGCACCUCACUCUCCCUUUCAUGAAGGAAUGGGGUUCCUUGGUGUACCUAUAGAAGUUGACAAUUUCAAGGCUGAUAGGUUAAUUUUUUAUAGCCAAGCCUGUAAGAACUUUUCGGAGAUAUUAUCCCCCGAAGAAAAUAAACAAGGGCCAGGCUCAGUUAGCCCCAUAGUUGAGAAAACAUUGUACAUAGAUUCUGUAGAUGUUGCAGAAUUUCAACAUCCAAGUUAUUCUGACACCAAGGAGCUGAUGGACACUGCUGGUUUAGAUUUUGGGACCUUGGUAGAAAGAAGAGGAAUAGAAGAAGCUUCUAGUGCGGAAUCUUCUUUUCAAGAUAUAAGAUGCCUGAACAUUUCAAAGGGGGGCAUAUUGAAAUUAAAAGCCCCUGGAUCUGUUGACUCCCUGCCUUCAUCCUCUGACAUACCACAUAUCAAUAGCCAAGAAGACACACUGGACAGCUUUAGACUGGAUCAAGGUCUCGAUCAGGAAUUUAGGUCCUUGGAAUUCUCCAAAGGGCCUAUUGAUGGAAACCUAAGUAUGAACAAUGAGCAGAUUCUAAAAGCAGAUGAUCAAGUUGAUUCAAAUGUCACAUUCUUACAGUCCCCUGUUCCCCCAGCCUUACCAAAGUCACCUUCUGAGUCUUGGCUCUGGCGUACUGUUUCUUUGCAGAAACCACACCAAAGAAGCAAGUUUCAUCCUAGAAAGCAGGCUCCCAAGACUUCCUCCACGGAUACAAAGUGGGAAACCAUUGUAAAAACUUCUAAGUUGCAUUAUGAUCAUGUACGCUAUUCUGAGGUAACUUCAUUGCCACCCUGAGUCUUUAUAUAUAUAUAAUUUUGUGAUCAAGGAUUUAUUGGUGAGAGACCUGAGAUGAACUAAAAAUUCCUUUUACCUUGACAGGAACUAAUUGCUCAUGUUCCUCAGCUACCCAAAACUUGAAAGUGCUAGGAUCCCAUGAAGUCCUUAUUCACAAUAUUAGGAUGUUUUUAUCCAAUAUUGUCAAAGGUAAUUGUAAUUUUCCAGAGGUCCCCUUACCCUAUUGUUCUCACUGAUGUUAUGUUAGGUAUAGUGGAAUUCAGUGUGGUUAUUUCUUAUUUUGUCAACAGAAGUUUAUACUUACUGUCCAUUCCUUCUCUUACAUCAGAAUGAGGCUGAGGUGGUAGUCAUAUAUUGGAUCAAAUUUUGUUUGUUGUAAUGCUCAUUAAAUUUUCUUGCUUCAAUCUGGUUUCUUUGUUUGCCUCACAUGUCUGUAUUUUCAUAAAAGAAUACCCCUUUUUGGUUGUGAAUGAAGAUGCUGCUUCCUUGGUAGCUUACAGAUUUCACUAGUGUAAUUAUGUGAAAUAUCGGAUUCUUUGGAGCUCUUUGCCUAUGAGGCAAUGUGGGAGAUAGUACUGUCCGUGUACUCUGCCAAUUUUGUUGUUCAAUCGAUUUUAGGCGAUUCAGAUGCUCUUUUAUUUCAUGUUAAUCUUGGGGUAGUGAAUGGCGGCGUUCUUGCCUAAGAGGAUGCUAGAAUUGGCACCGAAGCCAAAUUGAUAGUGAAGGUGAACAUUAUCCAAGAAAAAGAAAAGUAUACUUUAAGGUUACAGGGCAAACAAGGGUAGUUUUGCCGCUUUUAAUUUUUUCCAACAAUUUUGUUUAAUGUUAGGGAGAUUUAUUGGUAUAUAUGUUAGGGAAAUCCCAUGGUUUUAAAAACUGAUCGGACUGGUCUGUCCGACCGGUCACGGUUUCGGUUUGGUCCGGAAAAUUGGACCAAAAAGUGAUCGAAUCGGUAUCGAACCGCUUGAACUAGCGAUUCGACCGAUGAACCGAACGAACCGGUCGAUUCAAUCAUUUUUUAUUUAUUCCCAACAACUCAUUUUCCUUCCCAUCCCCUCCCCCCAAAGCCCCCCACCAUCGGCAUGCCUUCCUCGCCUUCCAUUUUUGUUUUUUAAAAUUUAAUUUUUAUGUUCUAUAUUUAAUUUCUUAAUUUUUUGUUAUUAUAAUUGUAAUGAUAUGUUUGAUAUUUAAUUUUUUUUAUUUUUGUUUUAUUUAUUGCACAUUGAAAUUUUAAUUUAUUGAAAUUAUUGAAAAUAUUGGGUUGAUUGACAUCUAUCAAUAGAAAAUUUUAUGAAAAAACUCAAUAAACAGUGUAGAUGUUGUCAAAAUUUAGAUAGAGUUUAUUAUUUUUAUUUAUUAAUUUUUUUAAUUUUAAUAAUAUUUAAAAUAUAUAUUUAUGACAUCAUCAGUUCGACCGUUCUGAUUCCGUCGAUCCGACUAGUGAACCGUAAUUUUUUUUUUAAAUUUUAAUAAUAUAUAAAAUAUAUAUUUAUGAUAUUACCGGUUCGACCGCUGAUCCGACCAGUGAACCAUGAAUUGGUAACUUUUCUAAUUCAAUUAUUGAUCCGGUUUUAAAAACAUUGAGAAAUCCAUAACGGCUACCAUGCCCUUAUAAAUUAAGUUUUUUUUUUUUUUUUUUUACCAUUUUAAAGUUGGAAGAAAAAAAUUUCAAAAUAAAACCCUCUAUUUUCUUUAAAUUUCUUCCACCAAUGAGAUUUGGGUGGUUUACCUAAUGGCCUUUUUGUUAAUGUGUUCAGCAAUUGGAUUGAUGAUAAUUUUAAAAUAAAUUAUUACAGAAAAUCAUAUCAGUACAGAUUUAAAAUUUCAAAAAUCUUGAAAUUGAAAUGAUCUCAAUCUCAAUAAAAAGUAAAUAGUAUUUUAUUUAAAUCAAAAGGUUAAAAAAUGGUUGGUGGUCGGGUGUGGACCUUAAAAGCUCUCGUUACCAAUAGAACAAAACUUUAAACUUUUCUGACAAGAUAGGGAGUUCUCUUUUCUAAAUUGGUAAGGUAUACUUUAGAUUAAGGAUAUGGAAAGCCUUAUGCCUUUGUAAUGUUAAAGGAAUACCCUACUUUACCAAUAGAGAAAUAAAAUUAAAUUUGUCAUUAUAUAUAUUAUGAUUCUUCCUUUUUUUCAAGGAUGUUUUAAACAUGUUAAGAAUACAUUUAAAUUCCAACAGGUUUUACCAUUUAGCUCUGCUGAUAUAAAUUGCAAUGUUACCUUGAAUAGAACUGCUAAAAGUUUUCCAUCUCUUGAUUCUGGAAUGGGGAAUAUAAACUUUGUGACUGGAUAGCAAGGGACAAUGGUUUUAGGAAUAUUGAGUUUUGGGCUUUAGUCUGUCAUGUUGCCAUAGCCCAUCAGCCCCAGCAUCAUGCAUUGCUUUGGCUAGCUCUUCAGGCCUGGCUCGUACUGGUACACCGUAUCCUGCAACUUCUGAAUACACUGGAUUCUUUUCCUAGGAUGGCAUAUUGGUUGAUGAUAUAAAUAUAUCUAUCAAAUUGAGUCAUAUUUAAGCAUGUAUUUCAAUGUACAUAGCAUGUGAAUCUACCCUAUGUAAACUGUAUGGCCGGUUUUACCGCUAUGCUAAACUAAUUUUAUUCCAACAAAAGGGAUUAAGAAGACAAUUACUUGAAAGUUCACUUCUAUGCUUUCUAGAUAUGGUCAAAUAUUCUAAAUACUCAAGCUCAAAUCAGCCUUGCCGGUGGUUGUUUGUGAAGGCCAGGCAUUUGUUUGAGUUUCUUCUUUUUGUUUCUCAGUAGGUUGUUCUUGCUGCCUUGAGGAAUACGGAGACAAAGAAAGCAUGGUAUUCAUUUCAUACUUGCUUUUGUGGUGGGUGUCUUCCUCAUUUGCACUUCUUUGGCUCAGUCUCAGUUGCAAAUCAGGCAACCAUUCCUCCUCCUUCAAUCUCUUCUCCUGAUUCGACUGCAUUUCAAAACAUAAAAUACAAAUGAAGAGCAGCACUAUAAAUAUCAUCCAAAAUUUCCAUGAAGAACUCUGAUACACGAAGAGUAGCAUUCCAUGAAGAGCCAUAUUUUCUGAAACUUACUAGUAGAUUAAUUGUUAAAAUACUUGUACCAUGGAUGACAUGUUAAAUGAAUCAGAUUCCAAGAGGUUACCUCAAGCCGAAAUGGCGGCUCAAUUUGUGGUGUGGAGAUACUGGAGAUGGUUUUAGGAUAAUGCAAGUGUGAUUGAAAUUGCCCAAGUCUUUCCUCAUUUGCAGGGCUCCAUUCAGACGGCUUCUUGCUGUAUGUUAGCGUUGCUCCAACACACCUUGGAGUAGUACAAAUUUGAUGCACUAGAGAUUGGGAGGCAGCAUUAGUCCUGGUCUUCUCCCUCCACGGAUUUCCAAUCAAUUCCCGUGGAGGCCACUUCUUUUCUUCAAGAAAUCUGCUAGGUCUAGUGGGUCUAUUUUGUGCAAUUGCCUCCAAAACAUGAUUCGGGUUUGAAGUUGAUGGCCUGUUUUGAGUAUGGAAAAUCAUCCUUUCAACCAACCCGUUGCCUUGUCCGAAAUAUUGUUUGCUCUGUAGUGCACUAGUACUUAAUCUUAACGCAUUAUAGUACUGACUGGAAGCAUACUGUUGCCGCCUAUUUGGGUGUGAGUGAAAGGCUAAUCAAGAAUAUGAAACAAGUUCUUUCAGGUUUCUUAUAAUUGAGUUUAAGCAGUUACCUUGAAGAGUUAGCUCUGAAAUCAUAUUGUUGUUGAGAGAGGGUGCACCGCAAAAGAUUGUAACUACGACUGCACUCACCAGGGUUCCAAGCUUGCUCCAUUCCACUCUUCUCCAUGCUGAAAUGUCGGCAAGAACCGGUUGGUCUGAACAAAAUUCCAGGAGAGCAAUCACGAUCUCGAUCUCUUCCUCCCAUUCGUCUAUAUGUUUUACAUAAUACUGUACAAAGGAAGCAACAUUUGAAGAAUUGGUAAGAUUAUGCUCCCACUCCUUUUCAACUUAAUCCUUUAAAUCCCAUAUCAUUGUUAUUUAAUUGAGGAUUUUUCAACUUAAUCCUCUAAUUCCAUAUCAUUGUUAUUUAUGUUGGAUUAGGUUUCUUUUUCAUGUGGAGGAUGGACCAAAUAUGUCAAAUCCAACAAAGCCCAUAUGAUAUGGGCAUUUUUGUCUUUUGGUAUAGGGUUUUUUUAGAACCCCUAAAAAGAUUCAUGUCUUAGAAUACCAAGUGAGAGAAGAACAGUUGUUGGUUUUGAGAGUAAAAAGUCUUAUGUCUCUUGAUUUUGGUUGGUCGGAUUAGUGGUCGAAACAGUCAACCGUAAGUUAUAAUCAUCUGAACAAAGCAGGAUGGAAAAGAAAAAGAGAACAUUUCUAUUAUUUACAGUUUUCAUCAAAGAGUAAUAUCUCUUUGAUCCCUAGUCUGAUUGAGGUAAAAUUUUAACAAAAUGUUCAAUACUCAUGGUAUGUCAAUCUAAACGGUUAGAUCGUUGAUCAGAGUUUUUUGAAUAGAUUAGUAUACCCGAAUAGAAUACCGAGUUUGUGACUUCUUUAUUUCACUCAUUUAUUGUUUGAUGUUUAUGUUUGUGAAGUUAAGAAUUUUUGCUCUUGAUAAUUGUUGUUUUUGAUAGUCUCUGAUUAAUGUUGGGACAAAUUGUAUACUCUCACUUUUGUUGAUAGUGAAGUUUUUGAGUUGACUUCGGUCUAGUGGUUUUUACUCCUCACAUUAAGGAGGUUUUCUACAUUAAAAAUUUUGGUGCAUGUGUAUAGUUGAUUCUUGUUGAUAAACAUUACUAUGAUAUUGUGUUUUUAUGUUACUUUCUUAUUAAACGCGCACAUAGGGAGAAAAUUUGAUUGAUCCUUCGUUGCGUGUUGAUUUUUCUCCUAACAAAGUGGUAUGAGAGCUUUGGUUGCUUCUGUUGUGUUGAAGAAUGAAUGUUAGUACAAAUAGAAUAGUGAGCUUAAAUGACUCAAAUUAUGCCGUGGAAAGAUAAAAUGGAGGAUUUAUUGUAUGUGAAGGGUUACCAUCAACGAAUGUUUGUCAAAGUAAAACAUGUUGACAAAACUGAUAAGGAAUGGACAUUGCUUUACAGGCAAGUGUGUGGGUAUAUUUGACAAUGGGUAUAUAACAAUGUGCUAAACCAUGUUAGUGGUGAGAAGCAUGCACGCACAUAGUGGAUCAAAUUUGAAAGGUUGUAUUCUCAAAAAACCGAAAACAACAAAAUGUAUUUGAUGAAAUGGUUGAUUCUUUUGAGAUAUCAUGAUGAUACUCCUAUGAUCGAUCACUUGAAUAUAUUCCAAGGUUUGAUAAAUUAGUUGGUUGUAAGGGAGGUAAAAUUUGAUGAAGAGGUACAAGGCUUAUGGAUUUUGGGCACUUUGUCAGAUUCUUGGGAGACAUUUAGAAUGUCAUUGUUUAAUUCAACUCCAAAUAGUGAGAUGAUAAUGGAAAUUGCUAAGAGUAGUGUUCUAAAUGAAGAGAUGAAAAGAAAAUUACAAUGUUCCUCCUCACAAUCAGAUGUACUAGUUACUAAGGCACGAGAAAGAAGUAAGAUCAAGGAUCCAAAAAACAAGGAAAACAAUAGAAGUCCAUAAGCAGAUUUGUUAAUGUUGAGUAUUAUCAUUACAACAAGAAUGAGACAUAUCAAGAAAUAUUGUAGAAAGUUGAAGAAAGAAAAUAAGAAAAACAGAGAGAAAGAAAAUGAGAACAAUAGCAAUGAUGAAGAUUGCAUUGCCAUUACUAUAGAAGACUUUCUACUAAUAUAUGAUAAUGAUAUGAUCAAUUAAACAUGUGAUGGGACCAACUGGGUAAUUAAUAGUGGUGCUACUAUUCAUACUACAUUUUGUAGGGGUUUCUACACAUCCUACACACCCGGUGACUUCGGAGUUGUAAGGAUGGACAACAAUGGUGUGGCUAAGGUUGUUGGCAUGGGUAAUGUUUGGUUGGAAACCCAUAAUGGUAUGAAACUAUUUCUUAAAGAUGUAAAGCAUGUUCCAAACAUUCGGUUAAACCUUAUCUCUACCAAUAAGCUUAACAACGAAGGCUACUAUAAUGGUUUUAGUAAUGGUCAAUGGAAGCUUACUAAGGGCUCUUUGGUCAUAGCAAGGUGCAAAAGGAAUCCUAAUAUGUACAUGAUCCAAGCUGGACUUUCUAAGGAUGUCAUUCAUGCUAUUGAAAAUGUGGAUACAGUUUAGUUGUGGCACAAGAGACUUGAUCACAUGAGUGAGAAAGGAAUGAUGGUAUUGUCCCGAAAGAAUCACUUAUUUGGGAUGACAAGCACAUGUCUAUAAAAGUGUGUUCAUUGCUUGGCAGUGAUGCAAAAUAAAGUUGCUUUCAAGGCACAUCCUUCUUCUUUAAAAAAUGAGAAUUUGUUUGACUUGGUCCACUCUGAUUUGUGUGGUCCAAUGAAAGAACAAACACUUGGUGGUUCACUAUACUUUGUGAGCUUUAUUGAUGACCAUUCAAAGAAGAUUUAGGCAUACACAUCGAGGCAUAAGGAUCAAGUAUUGGGAUAUGUUCAAGCAAUUUCAGGCUUCGAUUGAGAGAGAAACUAGAAGAAAACUAAAAUGUAUUCAAACUUAUGGAAAAGAAUAUUUAGGGCCAUUUGAUGAGUAUUGCAAGCAAUAGGGUAUCCACCAUCAGAAGACUCCUCCAAAGACAUCAUAGUUGAAUGGUUUGGCUGAAAAUAUGAGUAGGACAUGGGUUAAGAAAGUGAGAUGUUUGCUUUUACAAGCAAGGCUGCCUAGAUCUUUUUAAGGUGAGGCUUUGAAUACAGUGGUUCAUGUGUUGAAUCUCUCACAUUCUGUUCUUUUGUGGUUUGAUGUGCCAAAUAGAGUUUGCAUAGGCAAAGAUGUUUCUUUCGAUAGAAGGCCUUUGUGCACAUUCCCAAAGAUCAAAGGUCUAAGCUUGAUGUGAAGACAUGCUAAUGUGUAUUUGUGGGUUAUGGCCAAAAUGAAUUUGGGUACAGAUUGUAUGAUCCAGUUAAUAAGAAGUUGAUUAGAAGCCGAGACAUUGUAUUUAUGGAAGAUCAGAUAAUAACGGACAUUGAUAAGAUGGAGAAAGUAGAAUUUGGCAAUAAUGACAAGUUGAUUGACUUGGAAAUGAUUUCCCCAACACUAAUGGCAAAUCAACUUGAUGUUAAGACACAAAAUGGCCAACAUGGUGCAGGUGAUGAUUCAGAACCUGUAGAGGUUAGAAAUUCUAAUGAUGUCCUUGACCAACCACAAAUACCACAAGCUACUCACAUAGACCCACCUAGACGGACUACCAGGAAUCAUCAAUCUUUCACUAGAUACUCCCAUAGUCUCACAUUGAGGAGGUUUUCCAUGUUAAAAAUCGCAAUGCAUACAUAUAGUUGAUUCUUGUUGAUAAACAUUAUUGUGAUAUUGUGUUUUUCUAUUACUUUCUUAUUAGACACACACACAUAGGGAGAGAUUUGAUUGAUCCUCCAUUGCGUCUUGAUUUUUCUCCUAACAAUUUAAUGGAGGAAGACUACAAUCAUUAAAUUUGUUUCUAUUAAAAAAUUUAGCUAUAUAAUCAACAUUCAACAUGGACUCCCAAAUGGUAGAGCAAUUGUUUAAGAGACAUAAAAGACUUUGAUAUCCCACAUCUGGUGGGGGAAAAUUUUUAUGACAUUAUAUGUAUAGACUUUUUUUAAUCAUGUAGACGUAUUUUAAAAUCAUGAGCAUUCUCUAAGUUCAUACUUCAAAACAAAUAAUAUCAACAUACCCAUGGAUAUCUAUGCAAAGUAACUAACAUCAACCUGAUUUUUUCGAAAUUAGAGUUAUUAUACGCUUGUGGCAAUCACCCCAGCUUCUUUCCAAUUAUAGGUUUAUGGCAAUCUUCUAGAUUCUUUCCAGGUCCACAGUUAUCCCCGUGGUCCAUGGAUUCAAAAUUCCUAGAAGAUAAAAGUUGGUGUUUUUAUUCCUUCCCUUUUUCAAGCUUUACCCCUAUUCCACACAUUUCCGGUUUCCAGCACCAUUGAAAAGAUCCAAAAGAUACCACUACUUUACCUUGUCCUGAUUCAUCAAGCCUUUUACUUCGAUACAUCUGCGCAUAUUUUGAAAGUGCAUUGUCAGAAUAAGAGAAAGUAGCCAAAAGAAGAAAGAGAAGCAGCAAAAGAGAAAAAAAACACUAAAAAAGUGCCGCGAAAACAGAAACUAUUUCAGAGAAUGUGAGUGGAACCCUAUCUAGUACCUGCAAGUGGCUCUUUACAUGGGCAAUGCUAAGUCCUUUCACAUUCAUCAACUCAAGAACCAGCUUUGGAGUCGCUCCUGGGAUUCUCGAAAAGAAAGUACUACUUUAAAGCGAAGAAUAUGAUGAAUGGCAAUAUUGGAUAUUUAAUGCGAAGAAUUUAAGUUUUAUAUAUAAAUUAGAACACAAAUUUCACUAUAAAAUUCAAUAAUUUUAAUAAUUUUUUAAAAAUAAAAUUCAAAGAGUUCAAUAAAUUUUAUAGAGAAUUUUUAGCGUUUUUUUUAAUAGCCAAAUAUAAAUAAGUUGAAAGCGAAGAAGCAUUUUAUUAAUUGAUUGUUUAUAAUAACACUGUCAUUAAAUAACACUAAAUUUAUAAAAUAAACAACAUAAAAUUUAAUAUGAAAUAAAAAUAUUUUAAAAUUUUAAAAUUAAAAACCAAAGAGUACUCCCAUGCAUUAAGAAACUUUUUCAAUAAAAUAUUAAAUACAAAAUUGUAAAAAAAAAAAUCAAUAUUACUUGAAGAACUCAUGAGAACAAAAAAAAAUUCUCAUAUAUUGAAAUAACAACAAAUAAAUUACAAUAAUGAUUUCAAUUGAUUUUGUACAAUGUUUUAUUUCUUUCUAUAAAAUUUUAUCGAGAUCAGUAAUAUUUAAUUAUAAAUGUUUUUUAUCUUUUGAAAAUUCCAGGUUUUAAGAGGACAAGAAAGAAAGAAAGAAAGAAAAUUCUAGUGAGGAAGAAUGAACAUGGAGUAUCUUUAAGGUAAAACUUACUGGCCUGUCCACCAAGCCUCUCAACAGCAUGCACAAAAGAGAGAUGGAGGUCAGGAGUCCACCGGAGUCGAGGCAUUUUUGAUCGAACAUACUGCCUAACUGAGUUUUUCCCUCGACGUUUUUCCCCAGCAGAGACAUUAUUAUUAUUUGCUGAACUCCCUUCUCUUUCUCCUUCAUCAUCCUCCAUGCUCACUUCAGCUUCAGCUGCAGCGUCAUCCUCUGGGGAGUUGGAUUCUUCAUUCAAGUCAAAGGAGGUGUUUUCUGUUUCCUCCUGCUUGCUUCCAUCAUUUUUUUCUUCAUGGAUAAAUAAUCUCUCUGUCAUGGCUACUCUUGCUCCUUCAUGUAAAACACUUCCCAAUAUUGUAGAUUUUUUUUUACAGUUGCAUUUCGCUGAAAGACAUGGAGAGGAGGAGAGCAUGUGGGAAAAUGUGAAGUACAAUCAAGAUUUGAGGAAGCUGGGAGAGGAGAAAAAUAGCCAUAAUGCUUAUCUGUGGAAAUAACUAGACAAAAUUCACUUUUAGCAGUGUAGGAUACACAUUAUAUUCUCUCCUCUUUUUUUUUUUCUCUUUUUUUGUUGAAUUAUCAUUUUAACCUUUCCGUCUAAAUUCAUAUCGUUUUCAUGGAAAUGAAUAAAAGGUAACCAUGAGUGUGCAUUCUCUUGAAAUGCUUCUACAUUUAAGUGGAAGGCAUAUCCAAUGUGUGUGCCAAGAUCCAUUUAUAAUUUAGCCUAGCUCAUACUAAACCCUAAAGAGGUUUAUAUCUAGAAAUUAUAAUAGCUUUAAGUUUUUGAUUUGACCAUAGUCUAACCACAUGCACCAAAAUAAUACAUUAAAAUUGUGUAAUUUAGUUAAGAUUGUGCACUAAAAUUUGUUGUGUUGGCAAAAGUUGUAAUAGUGCUUAUCGUGCAAAUGAAAAUUUAAUGCUAACAUAUCAGUGUAAGAAAAAAUAAUCCACACAUAAGGAUAUGUGAGAUUUUAAUGUGAUUCAGCCAAUCGGGAUUAUAUUAACAAAAGAGAAAAUUAUUUUAUUACACGAUAGUGAUUAUCAUAAAAUGAAAAACCAAAUAUAACUAUAGAGCUGUGUAAUAUUCUGUGUUUCCUAAUUCAUGCAUCUACAUUUGAACUAUGAGCCCUCACUCCAUCGAAUAUUACAUAAUCUUCCUUAGGUCCUUGUGUGCUUGGUAUAUGUUUUAGAUCUACAUCUCUAUUUCAUAAAUUUUUCCUUAUGAUCUCGAAUAUUUAAAGAGAUAUUAUAAGCGAGUAUAAUAUUAUAAUAAUAAAUUAACAUAAGAAGUAUUCUUUACAAAAAGAAAUAUAUUCCAUUUUGGAAUUGGGGACACUUCCUAAGAAUAUUUACUUUGAAUCAAAUUCCAUUGAGUAAAUAUUUCAUCUUUCUAUAAUAUUCGUAUUGUAUAUCAAAUUUCAAUGAUAGAACAUUUCACUUCACUUCUAACCAAAAUUCUUUCUAUAAUCUUCUUAGACUUUUUUAGCUCUUUCAAAAAUCUUGAUCUAAGCUCUAAUACCACUUAUUGUGUAAGUGGAAGCUUAAAUACAAUUUAUUAUGCAGAAUCUUCAAUGUUAACAUAUUAGUACAAGAGUGUAAAGAUAAAAAUAAGAAUAUAUGUUUUAAUAUAGUUUAGCCAAUCACGUUUACAUCCAUGGAUACUAAAGAGCAUUUUACUAUACCAUAGAUAAUAUUACAAAUGAUAAAGUUAUUAAGUCCAAAACAUCACAUGCAUGUUUCCUUAUUUUUUAUAUUUAUAUCUUGACCAUAAGCCCUUGUUCCAACAAGUGUCACCUACAAUACCUCAAAUCUCUAUAUAGUUGAUAUAGGUUUUAUAUUUUUAUUUUGUAACUUUUUCUGUUACCACCUAAAAUAUUUAUAAAAAUAUUGUUAAUUAUUUUUCAUCUUUUAUAAGAUAUGUUUUAUAACUUUUCCCGUUCAUGACCGAGUGUAUUAUAUGUUUUCCUAGUUAGCUUUUUUUGUCAUACUUGUAAAUAAUAAUAAUAAUAACAACAAAAAGGAUGAUACUCAAUCAGAGAUUGUAAUUGCUAUUCUCUGGACUCUUUCAUCUCAUUGCUGUGGAUGCAAAGUUUAGGUGGGCGUAAUUUUUAGGUGGAUGUUUAACUGUAGAAACUUAAUGGCGAGCGCACAACAGUAGCUAGGACAUUAAUUUAUUAAUAAAUCCUUUUCAUAAAUCGAACAUGUCAUCCACCCAUAUGUAUAAAUGGAAGUAGCUUCGGAAUAAAGAAUUGAAUGUUGAAAAUUUAUGUAUUUUCCAGUCAAAUAGAAAUUAAUCAUGAUCAGACAAAAACAUUUCCAUACUAAAGAGUUAAAAAGAAAAAGUCUCAUGAACAAAAACUAAAUGUCUACUAAAAGAGUGCAAUCUAUAUAUUCCCAAGACAAUUGAGAAAAAAAAGAAAAAAGAGAAAGAAAAAAAAGGCCAUUAUAAUCAUAUGAGACUUACAUGUAUAGACAUAGAUCAAUAGUCCUAAAUUAAAGAUACUAUAUGUUCCCAACUCUUUAUAAACCACUCAAGUACUAUCUUUAGAAAUUCUGCAAAAGAUUUCGAAGAUGUAAAUUGUAUAAUAUUCUUGAGAAAACACUUAAGAGGAUACAAAAUAUCAACAGAUGUUAGUAGCUGGAAAGCCUCAUGUCCUUUUUCUAGAACAUGUUACACAGGAUGUUGCAGAUCUAGUACAAAAGUUGGGAUAACAUUAACGGAAUUAAUGCAAAAAUUAUUCAUCCUGAGCGAUUAACUUCACAAUUGAACUCAUCAACAGAUACUUGUCCUCCUAUUUUGUAGUUUUAGUGUCAGUAUCUACAGAAGCUAUGUUACUAGCAACAACUUCCAAACAAGAAGAAAGCUACUUUAGAUAAUUACAAUGUCGAACAAACAUUGAUUUUAGUUAAUAUUUAGGCACAUAGCAAAGGUUUGUCAGGAGGAAAAUAUUUUCCAAAUUGACAAAAUUCAGUGUGUUGUUCCUCAAAAUCGUCAUCUUAUGUGAUUAACUCUCAAACAACUAUUUGGAUAAUGGAUAUUUUGGAAUGAUAUUGCAGAAUUUAGGUCAAAAUCAUAUGCAGGAAAACAUAUUUAGUGACCUGACCAUAAUUAUAUCUAGUAAGGGUUUGAAGGAACUGGCAGAUAAAUCAUGUUUUGUUGCUUCUGAAAAUUCUUAGAUUGAUGAUUUGUCAAAUGAUCAUAAUUGAUAGUUGAAACCCCCCCAAAAAGGUUUGAAUAACUAUAUAUCCAGGUGAAGAAUCUUGCUAUUAGAAGCACAGUAUUGUGAGUAAAUCAUAUAUAUAAGCUAAAAAGAAGGCACUUAUACUUCAGAAAAGCAAAGAAAUUUCUCUUCCCGGACCAGCUAAUACAAACCAUUGUUGAUGAAGAAGAUGCUUUGAUCCUCCUUCCAGAUUUUUUAUCAGUUGAUCAAUCUUUAACUGUUGAUUCAGACAUAUCUCUGGACCGAUCCUUCCAUACCCACGAAAACCUAGAAUGCAAAGUUAAAAACAGGUGGACUGAUCGAAAAUGAAUCAAUCCUUGAACAACUGUUAAAAAUAGAGAGAGGGAGAGAGAGAGAGAGAGAGAGAGAGGGAGAGGGAGAGAGGAAGAGAGAGAGAGAGAGAGAGAGAGUAUUGCUUGAGAAGUUUUUGUUUGAUUCAACUGUGGAAUUAAAUUGAAAUGGCAAUAGUCAUCAGAGUUCUGAUAUUCUUAGACUUUGACGGUUUAAAAAAAAAUGAUGGGAUAGUAUCCACCUGUUCUCUUUAUAAUGAAAUAAUAAUAACAUUAUGAAUACAGCUGAGACCGGUCCCUUGGCCUGUUGUAGAUCAUGUGACUGCCUUUUCUCUUCAUCAUCCUUCUUUCACAGUUGUCCACGUAAAAUCUCUCUCUCUCUCUCUCUCUCUCUUUGGGACAUCUCCCAUUGUUUUUAUGAUAAACAAAUUCCAUUUUAUUAAUUGAUAACUUUCACAUGCAAGGUGGUCUGUACCAAACAUGGGACCAGUUCUUUCUCCAACCCAUCAAUUUUUCCCUACCUAAACCAAGACUUUCUUUCCAUAUCAUAAACCUAUUUUCUGUCACCAUGUUCCCAUUGUCGUUGUCCACAGUUUUAGUUUAUACUGCACAUGCUCUUAUGACUUUGAUACAUUGGUCUGAUUCAUAAAAAGAAACCAAACAUUGAAUAAAAACCUUGGUAUUGUAUGUGUGGGGCUACAAUGGUGGGUGAAAGUAGAAAAUUAUUGAAUCUUGAUAGGACUAUUGCAUGCUUUCAAACAAGAUGCCUUGAUCAAUGUCAUUUUUCAAACAUUUUUAAUUGCAUUUGCGAAGAAUAUUGCUUCUCUAGGUGCUCGUUUCAAUAAUUGAACUACAUUUUAGUCGGCAAAGUGGAUUUGAAACCUUGACUUCAACUUAUAGCCCUUCCCUGAAAAGUUUUAAAUUAGUCCAAUAUCAAACUACAAAUAUAUUACUCAAAUUUCAUGUAGAUAUGCAUCAUUGGUCAAACCCAGUUUGGCACCACAUAUUUCAUGCAAAAUCUUCCCAAGGAUCCGCCAUGAAAGGCCAGAGAUAUUCCAUCUUAAUCGUAAGAUUUUGUUCCUUAUAAUUAAUAUUCAAAGAACAAAGGGAUUUACCACUAGUAUUAAGUGCUUCAUCUACAAAUGUAAACGCAGUAGAAUAAAAAUAAAUAUUUUACAGUCUUGUAGGGAAGAAAAAGAACUUAUGAAGGAGUAGAAACCAUAUAGUUGGUACCAGGCUUCCAUUCAUUUGGAUUCAUAAAUAUGUAAGCUGUAAAUUGAUUGCUGAAGUUAUUAGUACUAUCAACUUCCAUGUGUGCACUGAUCAGCUGAGGGACGGAGGAAAACACACACUUAAAAGCUACAUUUGUCUCUUCGGAGACCAACAUAUAUAAAAAUUAAUUAAUUGGAUUUUAAUCAUGGUUACCCAACAAAUCUGAAAGCCCAUCAUAUUAGACAUUUAUGCAGAAAACACGGGAGGGCAACAAGUAAGAGAGACAUGUCAUGUCUCCCAUCCCUUUAGAUAUUCUCAAAUUGCAACCUUUGUUUAACCUUUUCUCCCACCAUCCAAAGGGUUUACUUUCCAAAGUUUGCUAGAGAGAAUUCGGAUUGUUUUGUCUUAAUUAUAUGACAAGUAGGGCCUUUUCUUCAGAGUCUUUGGGAAAGAAGAGGAAUCACUUCGAGGAUUAGGUUUGGCUAAAAGACACAUAAAAGUGGCUGUCAUUUGUGGCAUAUCCAUACUUUCUUUAGAGAAAGAGACAGAUAUUCCAAGGAUUGAAGUAAGAGUUUCAAUAACUAUAUAAAACUGGGUGGGAAGAAAGAACUUACGGGGUUUAAGAGGUUAUAAAAAUGGGGAAUCCCCAGUCCUACGUGCCUAGAAAAUUCUUAAUGUUUUGUCGUCUGGCGUGCAUGGGGGUUGACAUGAUCUAUUUUUUUCUUUAUGGCAUAUAGGAAUUUUCAAAGAAUUGCUUUUCUUUUCUAUCAUUUGAUGAAUGCGUGGUACAUAUGUGAAGACAUUCAACCUUGCAUCACAGCACAUCAUGGCUUUAAAAAUUUUGUUGGAGAAUAUUUUAAAUGCCCAUAAAAAAGAAUCCAUCAGCAACUUGUGUAUGUCAAUCAUUUCUGGCUAUUAUUUUCAUUACACAUGCAAAUAUGAAGUCUUUUCAAGCUCCUUAGGGACCAUUAAUCCAAAUGAAAAACUUUUUAUGUAAUUAAUUAAUUUGUAAAUGAAUAUUAGUGCUACAAAAUUCGAAUUUUUUGUAUUGAUGAUAAUUUAAUCAAGUGCUGAGAAGAAGGAACUGGGAAAGGUAAUUAGAUUAAUAAUCUUUAGACAAGUAAUUCCAUAUUUGCUGAACAGUAGAGUAUUGGCCCUGGCCCUAGGUUUUCGGAGCAUAGUGACAAACAUGUGAUCCCGCAGCUCGAUAUUAGUAGAUUCCUAAGAAAGCACUCUUACCCUAAUUAUGUUACCUAGCCAUCCUCAUAAUACAAGGAUUAGAUAUUGGUUUAUUAGCUUGUGAAAAAUAUCAUUGUUUAGGCUUAAGCAUAUAUACCUUUGGGCAUACCUUUUAAAAGGAGACCAUCCCUUCGGCCUCUUACUUCCUUGCUUUCCAUGUUGUCAGUAUAUAUUGAACCAUCCUAGGGAAUCUAGGGGCUGAGUAAAAUAUGUAUCCUAUAAGCUUAAGUUUUUAAGAAAAGUGGUAAUUUAACAUGAUAUUAGAGUUUGGUUUAACGGAAGGUUAUGCGUUCGAGCCUUUGUAAAUCUAGAAAUGGUUAUUUACAUUUAUUUGUCUCUCUAUUGCAGGUAUGGGGCCCUGAGGGAAAGUGUUAUUGGGUGGGAGGUCAUGAGUUCGAAAACCACUUCUCUGUAAUUUGUAUUUCCCCCAUUUAUUUCAUUGGAUAUGAAUUAUUGAACUCAAAUAUUACAACCUUAAACUUCUAAGAAAAUUGGUAAUUCAAGUUAGUAUCAGAACUUAAUUUGAUAAGAGAUCUAACUUAGUUUGGUAGGAGGUCUUGGAAAUAAGUCCAACUUUUACCUUUCUAUGUACGGGCAUGGGCCCUUCGAAGUUUUCACCACAAGGAAAAACAUAUAUGACCACCUUGGUAAUGUAUAAAAUACAUUUCAUUUGUUGCAUAAUGGAAAAUAACAUCAUAUUUUUCUAUCAACACUUUUAGAAGCAAUUAUACUUGCAUUUUUAGACACAUUUGACUAANNNNNNNNNNNNNNNNNNNNNNNNNNNNNNNNNNNNNNNNNNNNNNNNNNNNNNNNNNNNNNNNNNNNNNNNNNNNNNNNNNNNNNNNNNNNNNNNNNNNNNNNNNNNNNNNNNNNNNNNNNNNNNNNNNNNNNNNNNNNNNNNNNNNNNNNNNNNNNNNNNNCCCCCACCCCCCCCCCCCCCCACCCCCCCCCAU